This 500-nucleotide ribosomal RNA is filed under the name uncultured bacterium. RNAcentral's name for it is "partial 16S ribosomal RNA". It matches the Rfam family "Bacterial small subunit ribosomal RNA", at positions 30 to 523 of the family's 1533-position model. The record is from RNAcentral.
AUUGAACGCUGGCGGCAGGCUUAACACAUGCAAGUCGAGCGGGGGAAGGUAGCUUGCUACCGGACCUAGCGGCGGACGGGUGAGUAAUGCUUAGGAAUCUGCCUAUUAGUGGGGGACAACAUCUCGAAAGGGAUGCUAAUACCGCAUACGUCCUACGGGAGAAAGCAGGGGAUCUUCGGACCUUGCGCUAAUAGAUGAGCCUAAGUCGGAUUAGCUAGUUGGUGGGUAAAGGCCUACCAAGGCGACGAUCUGUAGCGGGUCUGAGAGGAUGAUCCGCCACACUGGGACUGGGACACGGCCCAGACUCCUACGGGAGGCAGCAGUGGGGACUAUUGGACAAUGGGGGGAACCCUGAUCCAGCCAUGCCGCGUGUGUGAAGAAGGCCUUAUGGUUGUAAAGCACUUUAAGCGAGGAGGAGGCUACUCUAGUUAAUACCUAGGGAUUGUGGACGUUACUCGCAGAAUAAGCACCGGCUAACUCUGUGCCAGCAGCCGCCGUAA